GGGUAACGGGGUGUUAGGGCACGACACCGGAGAGGGAGCCUGAGAAACGGCUACCACAUCCAAGGAUGGCAGCAGGCGCGCAAAUUACCCAAUCCCGACACGGGGAGGUAGUGACAAUAAAUAACAAUACGGGGUUCUUUAGGAUCUCGUAAUUGGAAUGAGUACAAUUUAAAUCUCUUAACGAGGAACAAUUGGAGGGCAAGUCUGGUGCCAGCAGCCGCGGUAAUUCCAGCUCCAAUAGCGUAUAUUAAAGUUGUUGCAGUUAAAAAGCUCGUAGUUGAAUUUCGAGACCGGCUUACUGGUCGUGCUAUUGUACGUACUGGUAUAAUCGGUUUCUCCUUUCUGACGAACUAUAAUGCCAUUAAUUUGGUGUUUUAGGGAAUCAGGACUGUUACUUUGAAAAAAUUAGAGUGUUUAAAGCAGGCUCACGCUUGAAUACAUUAGCAUGGAAUAACGGAAUAGGACGUUUGAUUCUAUUUUGUUGGUUUCUAGGAUCGACGUAAUGAUUAAUAGGGAUAGUUGGGGGCAUUAGUAUUCAAUUGUCAGAGGUGAAAUUCUUGGAUUUAUUGAAGACUAACUACUGCGAAAGCAUUUGCCAAGGACGUUUUCAUUAAUCAAGAACGAAAGUUAGGGGAUCGAAGACGAUCAGAUACC
This 654-nucleotide ribosomal RNA is filed under the name uncultured Glomus. RNAcentral describes it as "SSU rRNA". It matches the Rfam family "Eukaryotic small subunit ribosomal RNA", at positions 357 to 1016 of the family's 1831-position model. The record is from RNAcentral. Lineage: Eukaryota; Fungi; Glomeromycota; Glomeromycetes; Glomerales; Glomeraceae.